Molecule: long non-coding RNA, 75 nt
Organism: Xiphophorus couchianus (Monterrey platyfish)
Lineage: Eukaryota; Metazoa; Chordata; Actinopteri; Cyprinodontiformes; Poeciliidae
Exons: 3
Source: RefSeq, a predicted model, not a curated record
UGUUGUGUUCAAAGCUCCAUCCGCUUAAAUUAAACUCUAGUUCGUUUGCCCAGAAAGUCAGGUUCAUUUGGGGAG